GCUAGGAUGAACGCUAGCGGCAGGCUUAACACAUGCAAGUCGAGGGGCAACGCGAGUAGCAAUACUUGGCGGCGACCGGCGCAAGGUGCGUAACGCGUGAGCAACAUGCCCGUAUCAGGGGGAUAAUCCAGGGAAACUUGGUCUAAUACCCCAUAGUAAUUUUGUAAGGCAUCUUAUAAGAUUUAAAGCUUUGGUGGAUACGGAUUGGCUCGCGUGACAUUAGGCUGGAUGGUAAGGUAACGGCUUACCAUGGCUAUGAUGUCUAGGGGUUCUGAGAGGAAGGUCCCCCACACUGGAACUGAGACACGGCCCAGACUCCUACGGGAGGCAGCAGUGAGGAAUAUUGGACAAUGGAUGGAAAUCUGAUCCAGCCAUGCCGCGUGAAGGAAGAAGGUCCUAUGGAUUGUAAACUUCUUUUGUAUGGGAGCAAUAAGGCCUACGAGUAGGUUGAUGAGAGUACCAUACGAAUAAGCACCGGCUAACUCCGUGCCAGCCGCGGC
Molecule: ribosomal RNA, 500 nt
Filed under: uncultured bacterium
Lineage: Bacteria
Description: bacterial SSU rRNA
Rfam family: Bacterial small subunit ribosomal RNA
Source: RNAcentral